UUAAGCGACUAAGCGUACACGGUGGAUGCCUAGGCAGUCAGAGGCGAUGAAGGGCGUGCUAAUCUGCGAAAAGCGUCGGUAAGCUGAUAUGAAGCGUUAUAACCGACGAUACCCGAAUGGGGAAACCCAGUGCAAUACGUUGCACUAUCGUUAGAUGAAUACAUAGUCUAACGAGGCGAACCGGGGGAACUGAAACAUCUAAGUACCCCGAGGAAAAGAAAUCAACCGAGAUUCCCCCAGUAGCGGCGAGCGAACGGGGAGGAGCCCAGAGUCUGAAUCAGUUUGUGUGUUAGUGGAAGCGUCUGGAAAGUCGCACGGUACAGGGUGAUAGUCCCGUACACCAAAAUGCACAGGCUGUGAACUCGAUGAGUAGGGCGGGACACGUGACAUCCUGUCUGAAUAUGGGGGGACCAUCCUCCAAGGCUAAAUACUCCUGACUGACCGAUAGUGAACCAGUACCGUGAGGGAAAGGCGAAAAGAACCCCGGCGAGGGGAGUGAAAUAGAACCUGAAACCGUGUACGUACAAGCAGUGGGAGCACCUUCGUGGUGUGACUGCGUACCUUUUGUAUAAUGGGUCAGCGACUUAUAUUUUGUAGCAAGGUUAACCGAAUAGGGGAGCCGUAGGGAAACCGAGUCUUAACUGGGCGUCUAGUUGCAAGGUAUAGACCCGAAACCCGGUGAUCUAGCCAUGGGCAGGUUGAAGGUUGGGUAACACUAACUGGAGGACCGAACCGACUAAUGUUGAAAAAUUAGCGGAUGACUUGUGGCUGGGGGUGAAAGGCCAAUCAAACCGGGAGAUAGCUGGUUCUCCCCGAAAGCUAUUUAGGUAGCGCCUCGUGAACUCAUCUUCGGGGGUAGAGCACUGUUUCGGCUAGGGGGCCAUCCCGGCUUACCAAACCGAUGCAAACUCCGAAUACCGAAGAAUGUUAUCACGGGAGACACACGGCGGGUGCUAACGUCCGUCGUGAAGAGGGAAACAACCCAGACCGCCAGCUAAGGUCCCAAAGUCAUGGUUAAGUGGGAAACGAUGUGGGAAGGCACAGACAGCCAGGAUGUUGGCUUAGAAGCAGCCAUCAUUUAAAGAAAGCGUAAUAGCUCACUGGUCGAGUCGGCCUGCGCGGAAGAUGUAACGGGGCUAAACCAUGCACCGAAGCUGCGGCAGCGACACUUAGGUGUUGUUGGGUAGGGGAGCGUUCUGUAAGCCGUUGAAGGUGACCUGUGAGGGUUGCUGGAGGUAUCAGAAGUGCGAAUGCUGACAUAAGUAACGAUAAUGCGGGUGAAAAACCCGCACGCCGGAAGACCAAGGGUUCCUGUCCAACGUUAAUCGGGGCAGGGUUGAGUUCGACCCCCUAAGGCGAGGCUGAAAAGCGUAGUCGAUGGGAAACAGGUUAAUAUUCCUGUACUUGGUGUUACUGCGAAGGGGGGACGGAGAAGGCUAGGCUGGCCGGGCGACGGUUGUCCCGGUUUAAGCGUGUAGGGGGAGUGACCAGGUAAAUCCGGUUGCUUAUCAACCCUGAGGCGUGAUGACGAUGCACCACGGUGCAGAAGCAGUUGAUGCCAUGCUUCCAGGAAAAGCCUCUAAGCAUCAGGUAACAUUAAAUCGUACCCCAAACCGACACAGGUGGUCAGGUAGAGAAUACUCAGGCGCUUGAGAGAACUCGGGUGAAGGAACUAGGCAAAAUGGUGCCGUAACUUCGGGAGAAGGCACGCUGGCGUUAGGUGAAAGGACUAGCUCCUGGAGCUGAAGCCAGUCGCAGAUACCAGCUGGCUGCAACUGUUUAAUAAAAACACAGCACUGUGCAAACACGAAAGUGGACGUAUACGGUGUGACGCCUGCCCGGUGCUGGAAGGUUAAUUGAUGGGGUCAGCCGCAAGGCGAAGCUCUUGAUCGAAGCCCCAGUAAACGGCGGCCGUAACUAUAACGGUCCUAAGGUAGCGAAAUUCCUUGUCGGGUAAGUUCCGACCUGCACGAAUGGCGUAAUGAUGGCCAGGCUGUCUCCACCCGAGACUCAGUGAAAUUGAACUCGCUGUGAAGAUGCAGUGUACCCGCGGCAAGACGGAAAGACCCCGUGAACCUUUACUAUAGCUUGACACUGAACAUUGAGCCUUGAUGUGUAGGAUAGGUGGGAGGCCUUGAAGUGUGGACGCCAGUCUGCAUGGAGCCAACCUUGAAAUACCACCCUUUAAUGUUUGAUGUUCUAACUCGGCCCCAUGAUCUGGGGUGAGGACAGUGUCUGGUGGGUAGUUUGACUGGGGCGGUCUCCUCCCAAAGAGUAACGGAGGAGCACGAAGGUUAGCUAAUCACGGUCGGACAUCGUGAGGUUAGUGCAAAGGCAUAAGCUAGCUUGACUGCGAGAGUGACGGCUCGAGCAGGUACGAAAGUAGGUCUUAGUGAUCCGGUGGUUCUGAAUGGAAGGGCCAUCGCUCAACGGAUAAAAGGUACUCCGGGGAUAACAGGCUGAUACCGCCCAAGAGUUCAUAUCGACGGCGGUGUUUGGCACCUCGAUGUCGGCUCAUCACAUCCUGGGGCUGAAGUAGGUCCCAAGGGUAUGGCUGUUCGCCAUUUAAAGUGGUACGCGAGCUGGGUUUAGAACGUCGUGAGACAGUUCGGUCCCUAUCUGCCGUGGGCGUUGGAAGAUUGAGAGGGGCUGCUCCUAGUACGAGAGGACCGGAGUGGACGAAUCACUGGUGUUCGGGUUGUCAUGCCAAUGGCAUUGCCCGGUAGCUAAAUUCGGAAGAGAUAACCGCUGAAAGCAUCUAAGCGGGAAACUUGCCUCGAGAUGAGUCUUCCCUGGGGCUUAAAGCCCCCUGAAGGAACGUUAAAGACUAUGACGUUGAUAGGCUGGGUGUGUAAGUGCAGCGAUGUAUUGAGCUAACCAGUACUAAUGAUCCGUGAGGCUUAACCUU
Molecule: ribosomal RNA, 2908 nt
Filed under: Yersinia pestis Pestoides G
Lineage: Bacteria; Pseudomonadati; Pseudomonadota; Gammaproteobacteria; Enterobacterales; Yersiniaceae
Description: bacterial LSU rRNA
Rfam family: Bacterial large subunit ribosomal RNA
Source: RNAcentral